GCUGCGCUAGAGCAACAAGGAUGAGAUAGUCCACACAAUCGUCGGCUUCUCCGGAAUCACUUGGCCCUGCGAGGCCAGAGAAAAAUCACAGCUUCGCUGUCACAGGGAAGGAGGGCAGAUGACCCGGAAAAACGUGACUGGAUCUGGAGCGAGAGCUUUCUCGUCUGGCUUGGCAAUCCCACCGUGCCUGCCUCAGAAGACGAAGCUGCACCCCCGCCCCCCCUGCCCAGAAAUCUAAAGGACAGCUACAGCAGCAAAACCUAAGGUUAUUGGCUGAAUUCAACGUGAGAUUUGACGCCAAGAAGGAAAGCAUACCAGUACAGAGAAAACAGAAAAAGUCUUCCAUUGGCAAUUCCCACCCCCAAAGUUUGGUCUUUGAACUUUCCAAUUUGUGACUAGCCAGGGAAGAAAAUUUCUCCUCUGUGCAAAAAUUUUUUUUUUAAUUAAACUUUGUUUAUUUGA
Molecule: long non-coding RNA, 462 nt
Organism: Nyctereutes procyonoides (raccoon dog)
Lineage: Eukaryota; Metazoa; Chordata; Mammalia; Carnivora; Canidae
Exons: 2
Source: RefSeq, a predicted model, not a curated record